CUCAGCUACAGAAUACUGUUUUUCAAUGGUCACUGCCCGUAUCGGUGCAUUUUUGCCAGUGAUGAACAAGAGCCUGCAUGCUGCACUCGUAUCUAUCUGCGCUAGCAGAGGUGACCCUGAGUUGCCACUGCUGAAACACACCACCAACCUCCUCCGUGUGUCCACAUCCCAUGUUUGGUCCCAUGCACUUCCAUGUUGGAUGCCAUUCUGUCAGACUGCCCCUCUGCUGCUGUCUGUCUCAAGGCAACAAAAUGUAAUGGGAUGUUGGUGGGAAGGUUCAGCUUCUACUACCACACCUCCCAUGUUCCCAUCUAAUGUUGUGGGCGAUCCUCCUAGAACAUAUGUAGAG
RNAcentral lists this long non-coding RNA (349 nucleotides) under Gallus gallus (chicken). The record is from RNAcentral. Lineage: Eukaryota; Metazoa; Chordata; Aves; Galliformes; Phasianidae.